GACGAACGCUGGCGGCGUGCCUAAUACAUGCAAGUCGAACGAACUCUGGUAUUGAUUGGUGCUUGCAUCAUGAUUUACAUUUGAGUGAGUGGCGAACUGGUGAGUAACACGUGGGAAACCUGCCCAGAAGCGGGGGAUAACACCUGGAAACAGAUGCUAAUACCGCAUAACAACUUGGACCGCAUGGUCCGAGCUUGAAAGAUGGCUUCGGCUAUCACUUUUGGAUGGUCCCGCGGCGUAUUAGCUAGAUGGUGGGGUAACGGCUCACCAUGGCAAUGAUACGUAGCCGACCUGAGAGGGUAAUCGGCCACAUUGGGACUGAGACACGGCCCAAACUCCUACGGGAGGCAGCAGUAGGGAAUCUUCCACAAUGGACGAAAGUCUGAUGGAGCAACGCCGCGUGAGUGAAGAAGGGUUUCGGCUCGUAAAACUCUGUUGUUAAAGAAGAACAUAUCUGAGAGUAACUGUUCAGGUAUUGACGGUAUUUAACCAGAAAGCCACGGCCAACUACGUGCCAGCAGCCGCGGUAAUACGUAGGUGGCAAGCGUUGUCCGGAUUUAUUGGGCGUAAAGCGAGCGCAGGCGGUUUUUUAAGUCUGAUGUGAAAGCCUUCGGCUCAACCGAAGAAGUGCAUCGGAAACUGGGAAACUUGAGUGCAGAAGAGGACAGUGGAACUCCAUGUGUAGCGGUGAAAUGCGUAGAUAUAUGGAAGAACACCAGUGGCGAAGGCGGCUGUCUGGUCUGUAACUGACGCUGAGGCUCGAAAGUAUGGGUAGCAAACAGGAUUAGAUACCCUGGUAGUCCAUACCGUAAACGAUGAAUGCUAAGUGUUGGAGGGUUUCCGCCCUUCAGUGCUGCAGCUAACGCAUUAAGCAUUCCGCCUGGGGAGUACGGCCGCAAGGCUGAAACUCAAAGGAAUUGACGGGGGCCCGCACAAGCGGUGGAGCAUGUGGUUUAAUUCGAAGCUACGCGAAGAACCUUACCAGGUCUUGGCAUACUAUGCAAAUCUAAGAGAUUAGACGUUCCCUUCGGGGACAUGGAUACAGGUGGUGCAUGGUUGUCGUCAGCUCGUGUCGUGAGAUGUUGGGUUAAGUCCCGCAACGAGCGCAACCCUUAUUAUCAGUUGCCAGCAUUAAGUUGGGCACUCUGGUGAGACUGCCGGUGACAAACCGGAGGAAGGUGGGGAUGACGUCAAAUCAUCAUGCCCCUUAUGACCUGGGCUACACACGUGCUACAAUGGAUGGUACAACGAGUUGCGAACUCGCGAGAGUAAGCUAAUCUCUUAAAGCCAUUCUCAGUUCGGAUUGUAGGCUGCAACUCGCCUACAUGAAGUCGGAAUCGCUAGUAAUCGCGGAUCAGCAUGCCGCGGUGAAUACGUUCCCGGGCCUUGUACACACCGCCCGUCACACCAUGAGAGUUUGUAACACCCAAAGUCGGUGGAGUAACCUUUUAGGAACCAGCCGCCUAAGGUGGGACAGAUGAUUAGGGUG
This 1489-nucleotide ribosomal RNA is filed under the name Lactiplantibacillus plantarum. RNAcentral describes it as "bacterial SSU rRNA". It matches the Rfam family "Bacterial small subunit ribosomal RNA". The record is from RNAcentral. Lineage: Bacteria; Bacillati; Bacillota; Bacilli; Lactobacillales; Lactobacillaceae.